GAUGAACGCUGGCGGCGUGCCUAAUACAUGCAAGUCGAACGGACAGACAAUGCGCUUGCUCCUCUAACGUUAGCGGCGGACGGGUGAGUAACACGUGUAUCACCUACCUAUAUUACUGGUAUAACUUCGGAAAACCGGAUAUAAUACCGUAGCAUAUCUUGAACCACGGUGUGCAAUGGAUAGUUACGGUUUUUGUGGCUGUACUAGCUGGUUCCGGGCUUGAUUAUCUAGUUGUUAAGGUAACGGCCUACAAAGGCAACGAUGCGUAGCCGAGCUGAGAGGCUGAUAGGCCACACUGGAACUGAGACACGGUCAAGACUACUACGGGAGGCAGCAGUAGGGAAUCUUCGGCAAUGGGCGAAAGCAUGACGGAGCAACGCCGCGUGAGUGAUGAAGGCCUUCGGAUCGUAAAGCUCUGUUAUUAGGGAAGAACAGCUGUGGAAGUAAAUAUGGACGUAUUGACGGUAACUAAUCAGAAAGCACCGGCUAACUACGUG
RNAcentral lists this ribosomal RNA (497 nucleotides) under uncultured bacterium. RNAcentral describes it as "partial 16S ribosomal RNA". It matches the Rfam family "Bacterial small subunit ribosomal RNA", at positions 28 to 507 of the family's 1533-position model. The record is from RNAcentral.